Long non-coding RNA from Dinoponera quadriceps, 1175 nucleotides. RefSeq lists it as uncharacterized. The transcript is spliced from 2 exons. NCBI's taxonomy places the organism in Eukaryota, Metazoa, Arthropoda, Insecta, Hymenoptera, Formicidae. The record is from RefSeq and is a predicted model, not a curated record.
CCUCGGUGUGCAUCGCCCUCGUGUCUCCACGACGCCGCUAAUUUCAACGUCGACGCAAUUCUGAUCUGCCACAGUUUGCGUCCACACUGACAAUGCGGUUUACGGAAGUGCAAUUGUGGUAGACGCCGUACCGGGAGAUCUCGAAAUUUUUUAUACGUCAAAAAUGCUAUAACCAUCAAUUCGUGAUUUUUUACGCAUGAUUUGCAACUCGUAAAUAAAUUCGCGAAGUGCUCGAAUUGAUCGCGCAUUUUUCGAUUAAGUGCCGUUGAAUUGAUUGUGGUCGCGAGUGUGAUAUAGUGAAAUGAAUAAAAUCGGUGCGAGACGACGGCUGGAUGCUGGACGGGUAAAACGAGGCGGUCGGUGUGUAGCAGUGGAUUUUAUCGUGGAUCUGGACGGCUGAACAUCGCUGAAUAUCAUCGCGAAAACGGUGAGUGUACAAUUCAAGCGCUCACAGAGUGUCACAUCAUGUAGUGCGUGUUUAGACGUGAAUCUCGCAUGGAUUUCCGAGGAGGACAAACCGCGCGAAUGUCGUAUAUAUUUUGACAAUUCGAAGUCGCUCAAAACAGAUUUAAGAAUGGUGCACGCUCGCAAUAUCUAGCGAUAUGUCUUAUACAAGCAGCUUCGCCAUUGCUUCGCUUAAUUCCCGAUAAAGCCUUCAACGUUCGUACGUCUCAAGUUGCUUAAUUCAAUUAAUUUUAUCAUCGUGACGCGAAACUUUCGCGAAAGCAGCUGCGGCGGAAGCUCCGAAACUCCGUAGAAUUUUACGUAGAAUCCUAAUUACACACGAUUCCCGUUUUUCCAAACAGACAAAAUAGCACGCCAAGUAUCUCGCAGAGCUAUUCUAUCGUUAACAAACAACGUCAUUAAUCUCCGCGGAUAAAUAGAACUCAUUCUUUCGCGGAAACGCGAGAAAAACGAUGCCUUUCUAAAAACGCGCGCUUUUAGCUCCCUCGCGCCUCGCCUCGUAUUUUGUGUGCAUCGCGCAAUUUCAAUCUCGACCGGUCCGACCUUGCGUACGAGAGCGUUGGAAGUAACACAGAAGCGCAAUAUGCAGUCGCGCGCGUUCGCAUUUCACGAGUCGAUCCAAAAAUUUACGCGCCUGCGAAAAUAAAAGGAACGACCGAUGCAAAAAAAAAAUAAAAUAUAGAGAAAGAGAGAAGGAAAGGGAGAGGGAG